Long non-coding RNA from Hipposideros armiger (great roundleaf bat), 1414 nucleotides. RefSeq lists it as uncharacterized. The transcript is spliced from 3 exons. NCBI's taxonomy places the organism in Eukaryota, Metazoa, Chordata, Mammalia, Chiroptera, Hipposideridae. The record is from RefSeq and is a predicted model, not a curated record.
AGCAGGUCAAUGGAAAGUCAGGUGGGAGAGGUGUUAACUGUGUUCCAGGCACUUGACCGUAGUCCUUUGAAAAUGUGCCUUCAUUUAAUCCUCGUAAGUACCCAAUGAGGCAGGGACUGUUAUUACCCCAGUUUGUAUAUGAGGAAGUUGAAGCACAGAGAGAUUCAGUGACUUGUCCCAGGUCAUAGAACUGGAACGUGGCAGAGCUGAGAUUUGAACCCGGUUGGCCUGAGAGAGAGAUGGUGUAGAGCGCCCUCCUUUGUUCCCUAGGGAACAAUGCCAUGUCCUACCCACUGGGCACUAGCUCCGCCGUGUCAUUUCAAAGGGCAAUAUGACCUAGGCCAGGAAGACAAAAGACUGAGGGUGUCUCCUUGAGGUCAUUCUAUGGCAUGAAUUCUAGUGGUGUACGUCCCACUCCCAAACACUCCCUCAGUGCAGGAGGUCCCCUCCUCCAGGCUGCUCUGGGCCAGGCCACAGCUUCCAGCAGAGAACUGGAACCAGGCUGCCUCUGAAAAUAGAGAACGUGGGCAGAGAGGCAGCUGGUUUCUUUCCGUGCCAAGUGGGCACAGUGCCAAUCCCUCCUGGAAGAACUCUGCCCAUCUUCCUUUCCCCUUGACCCAGCGGGACGAGGAAGCUGCGUCUUCAGGCAAUUCUUCAUUGCCUUUGAACAUGGAGCCCCAUCCUAAAGAGAUGAGAGCCUGAACAUUUACGCUGGGGUGUGUUUCUAAUGAACUCUGAAAGAUGAAGAUUCCAAUUCAUCCAUUUUCUAAGGUGGGAGAAGAAGGCCAACUUUUUCAUUAGCAUGGACAUUGACUUUCAACAAUCAUGACUGAGUCCUAUUUCCUGGUGAGCAUAUUAAUGGUUCUCACCAGUCUGGAAAUUGUCUGAAGCUCUGCUGUUAUUCUCAGCUCAGAGCAAUCAGCAGAGAGCCUCAAGUACGGAGACAGCAAGUGUGUCACUCUCUUGAACUGCCAACUUCGAUUGAAGAAUGAGAAAAUCGUAUGCAGCCAGAGAUCAAGGUUGAAUUGUUUUACAAAAAUCUGGCAAUUUUGCCUUACAUGUACCAAUGUCUUUGAUAGCUUCAAAUAGUAUGAAAAACAGCACACUGUUAAAUUACAACCCCUAAUACUCCCAACCUCUUUUUCUUCUUUGCUUUUCUACUUAGCAUGAACCCCAUCUAAUAUGCUACAUGUUUCACCUAAAUUUUUAUUGUGCUUGCCCCCUACUUCAAUGGAAGCUCCAUGAGGGAAAGAAUUUUCUGACCAUUCUGCUGUGUGUUAAGUGCUCAGAAAAGCACCUUGAACUUAGAAAUUGCACUGUAUAUGUUAGGCGAAUGAAUAAAUUAAUAUGUAGUACAAAGACUGCCUUUUAGCUUACACUGUACCCCAUGGGGCUCAAUCUAUUUUUUCUGUUC